Molecule: ribosomal RNA, 541 nt
Filed under: Streptomyces sp. TmMRS2
Lineage: Bacteria; Bacillati; Actinomycetota; Actinomycetes; Kitasatosporales; Streptomycetaceae
Description: bacterial SSU rRNA
Rfam family: Bacterial small subunit ribosomal RNA
Source: RNAcentral
ACCCGGAGGCAGCAGUGGGGAAUAUUGCACAAUGGGCGAAAGCCUGAUGCAGCGACGCCGCGUGAGGGAUGACGGCCUUCGGGUUGUAAACCUCUUUCAGCAGGGAAGAAGCGCAAGUGACGGUACCUGCAGAAGAAGCACCGGCUAACUACGUGCCAGCAGCCGCGGUAAUACGUAGGGUGCGAGCGUUGUCCGGAAUUAUUGGGCGUAAAGAGCUCGUAGGCGGCCUGUCGCGUCGGAUGUGAAAGCCCGGGGCUUAACCCCGGGUCUGCAUUCGAUACGGGCAGGCUAGAGUGUGGUAGGGGAGAUCGGAAUUCCUGGUGUAGCGGUGAAAUGCGCAGAUAUCAGGAGGAACACCGGUGGCGAAGGCGGAUCUCUGGGCCAUUACUGACGCUGAGGAGCGAAAGCGUGGGGAGCGAACAGGAUUAGAUACCCUGGUAGUCCACGCCGUAAACGUUGGGAACUAGGUGUUGGCGACAUUCCACGUCGUCGAUGCCGCAGCUUCUCCUUAAGUUCCCCGCCGGGGAGACGGCGCAAGGAU